This 387-nucleotide ribosomal RNA is filed under the name uncultured bacterium. RNAcentral describes it as "bacterial SSU rRNA". It matches the Rfam family "Bacterial small subunit ribosomal RNA", at positions 28 to 416 of the family's 1533-position model. The record is from RNAcentral.
GACGAACGCUGGCGGCGUGCUUAACACAUGCAAGUCGAGCGGUAAGGCCCUUUCGGGGGUACACGAGCGGCGAACGGGUGAGUAACACGUGGGUGACCUGCCCUCAGCUCUGGGAUAAGCCUGGGAAACUGGGUCUAAUACUGGAUAUGACUCCACGGUGCAUGUCGUGGGGUGGAAAGCCUUGUGCGGUUGGGGAUGGGCUCGCGGCCUAUCAGCUUGUUGGUGGGGUAAUGGCCUACCAAGGCGACGACGGGUAGCCGGCCUGAGAGGGCGACCGGCCACACUGGGACUGAGACACGGCCCAGACUCCUACGGGAGGCAGCAGUGGGGAAUAUUGCGCAAUGGGCGAAAGCCUGACGCAGCGACGCCGCGUGAGGGAUGAAGGCC